This 1017-nucleotide small RNA is filed under the name Pongo abelii (Sumatran orangutan). RNAcentral's name for it is "processed transcript". Lineage: Eukaryota; Metazoa; Chordata; Mammalia; Primates; Hominidae. The record is from RNAcentral.
GGCGGCGGAAGUGCUCAGCCGCGCGGCAUUCUGGGGCCGGAAGUGGGGCGCACGCUGCGGGCUGGUGUUAUGGCAGCUGCGCGGAACCGCAAGAGGCGCCUGGCGGAGCUGACGGUGGACGAGUUCCUAGCUUCGGGCUUUGACUCCGAGUCCGAAUCCGAGUCCGAAAACUCCCCAGAAGCGGAGACGCGGGAGGCACGCGAGGCUGCCCGGAAUCCGGAUGAACCGGGCGGGAGCCCCUCGGCCAGCCGGCGUAAAGGCCGUGCCUCUGAGCACAAAGACCAGCUCUCUCGGCUGAAGGACAGAGACCCCGAGUUCUACAAGUUCCUGCAGAAGAAUGACCAGAGCCUGCUAAACUUCAGCGACUCGGACAGCUCCGAGGAGGAAGAGGAGCCGUUCCACUCCCUUCCAGAUGUGCUGGAGGUGAGGGCGUGGGCCAAACCAGGAGGGGGGCACUUGUGGCCUCUACACUCUCCUUCAGCUCAGCUUUUCCGUGCAGGAAGCCAGUGAGGAGGAUGGAGCGGAGGAGGGGGAAGAUGGGGACAGAGUCCCCAGAGGGCUGAAGGGGAAGAAGAAUUGUGUUCCUGUGACCCUCGCCAUGGUUGAGAGAUGGAAGCAGGCAGCAAAGCAACGCCUCACUCCAAAGCUGUUCCAUGAAGUGGUACAGGCGUUCCGAGCAGCUGUGGCCACCACCCAAGGGGACCAGGAAAGUGCUGAGGCCAACAAAUUCCAGGUCACGGACAGUGCUGGUGAGCUUGGGGGGAGCCUGGCAUCCAGGCUGUUUGUUGCGUUCUGUCCCGUGAGUACAUCCAGGCCUUUUCGUUGCAGUGUUCAAUGCUCUGGUUACCUUCUGCAUCAGAGACCUCAUUGGCUGUCUCCAGAAGCUGCUAUUUGGAAAGGCGGCAAAGGACAGCAGCAGAAAACGUGGGCCAAAGGAAACCAGUCUGCAGCAGUUGGUGGUGCCUCGCCGACCCCAGAGGUGCCGAGUACCAGCUGCUGGGCUUGGGGACCUUGUGU